AGGUGGAGCAAAUCCCUAAAAGCCAUCCCAGUUCGGACCGCAGGCUGCAACCCGCCUGCGUGAAGUUGGAAUCGCUAGUAAUCGCGGAUCAGAAUGCCGCGGUGAAUACGUUCCCGGGUCUUGUACACACCGCCCGUCACACCAUGGGAGUCGGGAAUGCCCGAAGCCAGUGACCCAAGCGAGAGCAGGGAGCUGUCGAAGGCAGGCCGGAUAACUGGGGUGAAGUCGUAACAAGGUAAC
This 240-nucleotide ribosomal RNA is filed under the name uncultured bacterium. Its description in RNAcentral is "partial 16S ribosomal RNA". It matches the Rfam family "Bacterial small subunit ribosomal RNA", at positions 1260 to 1500 of the family's 1533-position model. The record is from RNAcentral.